Molecule: ribosomal RNA, 405 nt
Filed under: uncultured prokaryote
Description: bacterial SSU rRNA
Rfam family: Bacterial small subunit ribosomal RNA
Source: RNAcentral
UCGAGAAUCUUCCGCAAUGGGCGAAAGCCUGACGGAGCGAUGCCGCGUGAGGGAUGAAGGCCUUCGGGUUGUAAACCUCUGUCAGAGGGGACGAAGAAUGUGACGGUACCCUCAGAGGAAGCCACGGCUAACUACGUGCCAGCAGCCGCGGUAAUACGUAGGUGGCAAGCGUUAUUCGGAUUCACUGGGCGUAAAGGGUCCGUAGGGGGUCUGCCAAGUCUGAUGUGAAAUCCCGUGGCUCAACUGCGGAACUGCAUUGGAUACUGGCGGGCUGGAGUCUGCGAGGGGUGAGCGGAAUUCCUGGUGUAGCGGUGGAAUGCGUAGAUAUCAGGAAGAACACCGAUGGCGAAGGCGGCUCACUGGCGCAGUACUGACCCUGAGGGACGAAAGCGUGGGGAGCAAACA